Molecule: transfer RNA, 66 nt
Filed under: Navis striatus
Lineage: Eukaryota; Metazoa; Arthropoda; Arachnida; Ixodida; Argasidae
Description: Argas striatus tRNA-Pro
Source: RNAcentral
UCAGAAAAUAGUAUAUAAAUAUAUAAAUAUUGGGGAUUUAAGAUGGUUUUUAAAAUCUUUUCUGAU